GACGAACGCUGGCGGCGUGCUUAACACAUGCAAGUCGAACGAUGAAGAAAAGAAUCGAAGCUUCGGCAGAAAUUCAUUUCGGAUUAGUGGCAGACGGGUGAGUAACGCGUGAGCAACCUACCUCUUACAAAGGGAUAGCCUCGGGAAACCGGGAUUAAUACCAUAUAACAUUGUGACGAAGCAUUUCGAUGCAAUCAAAGCUACUGCGGUAAGGGAUGGGCUCGAGUCUGAUUAACCAGAUGGGGAGGUAAUGGCUCACCAUGGCGAGGAUCAGUAGCCGGUCCGAGAGGAUGAGCAGACACACUGGGACUGAGACACGGCCCAGACGCCUACGAGAGGAAGCAGGGGGGAAUUUUCCGAAAUGGGCGAAAGGUUGACGGAGCAAUGUCGCGUGGAGGUAGAAGGGCCACGGGUCGUGAACUUCUUUUGUAGGAGAAGAAACAAUGACGGUAGCUGAGGAAUAAGCAACGGCUAACUCUGUG
Molecule: ribosomal RNA, 482 nt
Filed under: uncultured bacterium
Lineage: Bacteria
Description: partial 16S ribosomal RNA
Rfam family: Bacterial small subunit ribosomal RNA
Source: RNAcentral